AAGGGGGAAUUAAUUCAGUGGAACUAGUGUUCAGGGAUUUGUGGGGAAGUAGUUCUGUGUGACCACCUAGCCCUAUAUAAGACCUAUCUGUUUGCUCAGAAACUAUCAGAGGGUGUUGCUGUAGUACCAGCUGCUGAAUUGUUUGAGUUUGGUAGGUCUUUCUCAAGACUGCUGCUGUACCCCUGCAAACAUGGGAGGCAAAUUGAGCAAAAAGGGGCUCAACAUGGCUUAUGAGAAACCAAUAACCCAUGUGGUUGAAGAAGCUACAGAGGCUGCUACAGGGAGGCCAGAAGAGAGGGAGGAGGCCUGCCUUGCUGCAGAGUCCAUGGGACCCACAACUGAGAAGAGGCACAAAGAUUCCCAGGUCCCUGCUGAUGAGAGAGAAGACAAGGAAGGAGGUGGAGUCCCUGCAGUGGGUGUGGACGAGAUCUGUGAAUCUGAACCAAAUGAAGAGCAGCUGGUGGCUAUCAGUGAGGAAACCACUAAAUCUCCAGAGGCAGACCCUUCCCAGGUUCUGGAAGUCACAGCGCCUACAGGUGUUGAGAGCAGACCAGAAGGGGAUGCUAAAUAGAUGGAAUCCCCCAGCAUCUGAAUGCCAAGUGACUCCACCCCAGUUUCUAUUUCAAGACCAAACUCCAUGAAGAGGCACCUUCUGCAGAGUGAGCCUGGCAACACUAGUACUACUCUCUGCUUCUACAACCUGAGACUGUAGCUGUGGCAGAACACCUCCAUCUUUCCAACAAACUCUGAUCCCUAGUGCCAGAAUGUCAUGGACAGACUGAGUAAUGCUAGUAAAACUACCUCUUUUAGGUGGUUCCCUCAGCACUGGUGAGCUGUAUCCUUAGCUCUUAGCCCUCUGUAGGGAAAUGGCCCUCUGUAGGGAAAUGGCCAAGUAAGAUGGCAUGCAUCUGGCACAGGAAAUGUGUUCUACCAGUUGCACCAAGUCCUGUAUCUCUUAGGCUAGACUGUGAAAGUACAGCACAUCUCAGUACCUGAACUAUCAUAAACUAACUUGUGUGUAUAGCCAUCUUUCUCUGUUUAAUGUAGAUGACUGAAUGUAAUUAAAACAGUAUCUAAGGGUUUUAAGGCUUUGGUGUGAUCCCUUAUAUGCAAUGAAGGGGAGGCUCUGAAGAACAAACUUGAUUUCCUGUUCUCGUGUUACAUUGCAUGAUGUGGCUAGAAGUCCUGAAUGCAGUAAAGAUGUGAGGCGAUGACUAGCUUUUCUGGCACAUGUUAAUUACAAUUCAGAUGCAUUUUGAGGGCUCAGCUGGCACUUCAAAACCAGAAGAAACAUGUAAUUGCUUAUAUUUUAUAAGCUAGUAACUUUUCUCCUCUGAAAAAUCUGUUCUGUAUAUGCAGUAACAGGACACUGGUGGUUUAUAGAAAUCCUUGUAUUGAUUUCAAAUGUUGGCUGUCAAUAAAUGUUUUAUAGCUGCAACAAACAUCUGAAACUUUUUUAUAGUUGGUGUCUACCUUCACUGAAUAAACUCUAAUUACAGGCUGUAUGGGGAGCAGGGAGUUGCAUUGUCUUAAUUACAUGAGUUCAUACCCAUAUCCAGUAGCAUCUUGACUUCCUCCAUACUCUACAGCAGUGACAGUUUUGAAGGAGUCUCUCUUCCCUCUACCCCCAGUGAUUUAGUGGUUUUGAGUGGAUCCUGGGCCCUGGUGAGUCUUACCCCUGAACACUAAGAUACAAGAGCUCCAUCAGGGUUCAGUUCAGGACAUGAACCUGACAGGCUUCCUGGGCUCAACAGCUUCAGGGUCUGGUCUUAAGCUUUGAGCCCACUUGAGUCAUACAGCUGUGAUGUUCCACUAGUUAAUAGUAGGCCUAUGCUGGGUGAGAACCCAGCACACACACAAUCUUUUUGUACUCCUUCUAACUAGAUAAAUCUUUACCACAGUAAAUUGUUUCCUUGUGGAAACGCUCAUCUUGAGCAGCUCUGUUGAAAUAACAAGGCCCCUACUCUGCAGGAUGUAAACAGCACUGCUGUUAAUAGGACUCUUUUCUAAAACCCACUUUCUCCAAAAGUGAACCUCUGUCUCUUGACAGCUCUGAGAAUGGCAGCUAGAAUGGAAAAUAGGGUCAUGGGACUGCAGAACUGCUUACUUGCUAGCUGUUUCAAAGGAGUGUUGUAUUUUUGUUCACAAGCUUUCUCAUCCCUUCCCUUAUUCCAAAAGGUCAUACUUACACACACCCUUUCUCAUCUUCUCCCCAUCUCAGUUCCCCCUCAGUGUGAUCAAGGAUUCCAAUCUGUUCUUCCCCUAACCUGGCUCCAACUCUGGGUAUGUGAUAAAUUUGACCAUCUCCUACCUCAGUACUUUCUUAGUCCUAUCUGACUUCAUGAUCA
Molecule: long non-coding RNA, 2348 nt
Organism: Mauremys reevesii (Reeves's turtle)
Lineage: Eukaryota; Metazoa; Chordata; Testudines; Geoemydidae
Exons: 2
Source: RefSeq, a predicted model, not a curated record